GACGAACGCUGGCGGCGUGCUUAACACAUGCAAGUCGAACGGAAAGGCCCUGCUUGCGGGGUGCUCGAGUGGCGAACGGGUGAGUAUAACAUGUGUGUACUGUGCUCCACUUCGUGGUAAGACUGGGGGACUGGGUCUCUUACAGCAGAUGAGCGAUCUUGAGUGAGGGGGUUGGAUAGUUUUUUCGGUGUGGGGUGAGCUUGCGGCCUAUCAGGUUGUUUGUGGGGUAAUGGCCUACCAAGGCGGCGGAGGGUAGGCGGCCUGGGAGGGUGGACGGCCACAUUGGGACUGAGAUUCGGCCCAGACUCCCACGGGAGGCAGGAGGGGGGAAUAAUGGACAAUGGGCGCAAGCCUGAUGCAGCGACGCCGCGGGGGGGAUGACGGCCUUCGGGUUGUAAAAUCCUUUCGCUAGGGACGAAGCUUUUUGUGACGGUACCUAGAAAAGAAGCACCGGCUAACUACGUG
This 465-nucleotide ribosomal RNA is filed under the name uncultured bacterium. RNAcentral describes it as "partial 16S ribosomal RNA". It matches the Rfam family "Bacterial small subunit ribosomal RNA", at positions 28 to 507 of the family's 1533-position model. The record is from RNAcentral.